UCACUGAACCCUAGCAGCCGCACACCCCCAAUCUCUCAUCUGCCCACACUCACCACUCUAACGUGCUUCACUCUCUGGCCCACUCCUUCUAAUUUUUUUUGUCUGCUCUUCCUCUUCCCUUCCCCAUUCCUCUCCUCUCCAACAGAUCUGUAAAAACACAAAAAGCUGGAAGUCGUGGAACCAGGUUGGGAAGAAAAAAAAAAUGGCACUUACGGAAGUCGACAUCAAUACCGGAAGUCGACUUCCGUAGUUAGUAAAUAUUGAUUUCCGUAAGAGCAGUUCCACUUCCGUAGGCCAGUGCAACUUCCGUAGGGGAGUUCGACGUUCGACUUCCGUAGGCGAGUUCGACAUUCGACUUCCGUAGGCGAGUUCGACGUUCAACUUCCGUAGGCGAGUUCGACUUCCGUAGGCGAGUUCCACUUCCGUAAGGUGUACCUCUUUUUCUGAGAAGAAAUGAAGCAGAUGGAAUUUCACACCUCAACCACGAAAUUUUUUGCAGUGACCACGAAAUUUUUUGCAGUGAAACUGAAAGUGAAACUGAAGAGGGGUGCAGGGUAUAUAAAAGACUGGCCGGGCAUAAAUGGAAGAGCAUGAAUAUUUGGAGGUGCAGAAGAAAUAUUGGGGGUGCAGGAAGAAACCCCCAAAAAAGAAAAAGCUAUUUUUUGCGGGCUUAUACAUGUGCCGAGUUUUCAAAGGCCCAUUUGCAUAAUCAAUGUAAUUAACAAGUGGGUAAAUGAGGAAGAUACUUUUAUUUGAUGCAAAUUCUCUUUUAUUUUG
This is a long non-coding RNA of Vigna unguiculata (cowpea), 777 nucleotides long. RefSeq lists it as uncharacterized. The record is from RefSeq and is a predicted model, not a curated record. NCBI's taxonomy places the organism in Eukaryota, Viridiplantae, Streptophyta, Magnoliopsida, Fabales, Fabaceae.